GCAAAGGGUGACUGACCUUCUCAAAGUGUAAGGUUCGACUUGCAAAUAGAAAAGAGAAAUAUCGAAAGUUGUAGAACUUGGUUAGGUGGGUGAACUUUUGAUGCUCAAGUCAGAUUGAAUUUUUAUAAAAUAGUGAAGAUAUGAGAGUACGAAUUAUAAAAGAUGAAAUGGUGUGAGAGUAAACAUAUCAAGAGAUUCCUAUAAAAAUUGAGGCACGG
Molecule: long non-coding RNA, 218 nt
Filed under: Elaeis guineensis (African oil palm)
Lineage: Eukaryota; Viridiplantae; Streptophyta; Magnoliopsida; Arecales; Arecaceae
Description: long non-coding RNA (EGUI_LNC005678)
Source: RNAcentral